GUAAUUUUUACAUCACUAUUUUGUCUCCCUAAUUAUUAAAAAAAAUAAAAAUCAUGAAAUUACAGUAAAUGAGAUUGUAGAUAAAUUACAUCAUUUAAGAAGUAUGUAUUAACAAAUCUGUGUUCUCCAUUAAUCAUUUAACUCUCUACUUAAGGUGAGAAAACAUGACAAGACAAUACUAAAGAGAAUUGAGAAACUGGAACAAGAACUGAAAGAAGACUUAAGAGAUGAAUUUAAGAAUAUUAAGAGUGGCCUUCUGGAAGUGGUGGUGAG
This is a long non-coding RNA of Oryzias melastigma (Indian medaka), 273 nucleotides long. RefSeq lists it as uncharacterized. The record is from RefSeq and is a predicted model, not a curated record. The transcript has 2 exons. Lineage: Eukaryota; Metazoa; Chordata; Actinopteri; Beloniformes; Adrianichthyidae.